Molecule: ribosomal RNA, 449 nt
Filed under: uncultured bacterium
Lineage: Bacteria
Description: partial 16S ribosomal RNA
Rfam family: Bacterial small subunit ribosomal RNA
Source: RNAcentral
AACGAACGCUGGCGGCAGGCUUAACACAUGCAAGUCGAGCGCAUCCUUCGGGGUGAGCGGCAGACGGGUGAGUAACGCGUGGGAAUGUACCCUUUGCUACGGAAUAGCUCCGGGAAACUGGAAUUAAUACCGUAUGAGCCCUUCGGGGGAAAGAUUUAUCGGCAAAGGAUCAGCCCGCGUUGGAUUAGCUAGUUGGUGGGGUAAAGGCCUACCAAGGCGACGAUCCAUAGCUGGUCUGAGAGGAUGAUCAGCCACAUUGGGACUGAGACACGGCCCAAACUCCUACGGGAGGCAGCAGUGGGGAAUAUUGGACAAUGGGCGCAAGCCUGAUCCAGCCAUGCCGCGUGAGUGAUGAAGGCCUUAGGGUUGUAAAGCUCUUUCAGUAGGGAAGAUAAUGACGGUACCUACAGAAGAAGCCCCGGCUAACUUCGUGCCAGCAGCCGCGGUAA